RNA transcript from Felis catus (domestic cat), 8995 nucleotides. It is a transcript of the gene named glucosaminyl (N-acetyl) transferase 3, mucin type, with no coding region annotated. Lineage: Eukaryota; Metazoa; Chordata; Mammalia; Carnivora; Felidae. The transcript has 8 exons. The record is from RefSeq and is a predicted model, not a curated record.
UCUACUUCCUGCUUCUGUGAGCAUCACCAUGUCAACGCCUGUUUACUACUGGGCAGGGGCAGUCUCUUUAUGUAACUGCACCGAAUGCAGUUACAGUAAUGGUGGACAAAUACCUCAGCCGCCUCAGGAGAGGUUGAGAUCUCAGCCUGGGGGCCUCUUCUGAGGUCAGAGACCCCAGCGCCUACUGAGCGGGUGGUGCUCUUCCCAUCUCGGAGAGACCGAGGAGGAGCCUGAGACUGUUCCUGGACAUCCUGUGAACAUCAGAAAAUAUUUUGUGGAGGCAUUAAAAGAAGGGGAUAUGGUGUUCACAUUUGCUUCCAUGGAUUCCAACCAAUCUUCCUUGGAAACAAACACAUCUUGACAAGUGAUCUUUCCUAAGCAAGGACAAAGGUAUUAAAAAGGAUUCCAUCCUCCUCCUCCGUCCUUGUGCCCAAACUCUACUGGUUUCUCAUUCCGUGAGGAUGAUUUGGUGGAAGAAGAUACAGUGGCAGCAGCGUUUCCUGUGGGCCCUGGGCUGCUAUAUGCUGCUGGCCAUUGUUGCUCUGAGGCUUUGUCUCAGAUUGAAAUGUGACUUUGAUUCCCUGGAUCUGAAGUCCAGAGAUUUUCAGAGCCGGCACUGUAGAGACAUCUUGUACAAGUCCCUGAAACUGCCAGCAAAGAGAUCCAUCAACUGUUCUCGGAUCAUCCAAGGGGACCAGCAGGCAGUGAUUGAGGCUGUGCUGGACAACCUGGAGAUCAAGAACAAGCGGAAGCCUUUCACAGACACUGACUACCUUAACAUGACCAGAGACUGUGAGCACUUUAAGGCUGAAAGGAAGUUCAUACGGUUCCCUCUGAGCCAAGAAGAGUCAGACUUCCCUAUUGCCUACUCAAUGGUGGUCCAUGAGAAAAUAGAAAACUUUGAAAGAUUGCUCCGAGCUGUGUAUGCCCCUCAGAACAUAUACUGCAUCCACGUGGAUGAGAAAUCCCCAGAAACUUUCAAAGAGGCAGUCAAGGCAAUUAUUUCAUGCUUCCCAAAUGUCUUCAUGGCCAGUAAGUUGGUUCGGGUAGUUUAUGCCUCCUGGUCCAGGGUGCAGGCUGACCUGAACUGUAUGGAAGACUUGCUCCAGAGCCCAGUGCCAUGGAAAUACUUACUAAAUACAUGUGGGACAGACUUUCCUAUAAAGACCAAUGCUGAGAUGGUCCUGGCCCUCAAGAUGUUGAAUGGGAAGAACAGUAUGGAGUCAGAAAUACCUUCUGAGUACAAAAAGACUCGCUGGAAAUAUCACUAUGAGACAAAAGACACAUUGUACGUAACCAACAAGAUGAAGGAUCCUCCCCCUGAUAACAUACCUAUGUUCACAGGGAAUGCCUAUAUUGUAGCUUCCCGAGACUUUGUCCGACAUGUCUUAGAGAACCCCAAGUCCCGACAACUGAUUGAAUGGGUAAAAGACACCUAUAGCCCCGAUGAGCAUCUAUGGGCCACGCUUCAGCGUGCACCAUGGAUGCCUGGCUCUAUUCCCUACCACUCCAAGUUUCACGUCUCAGAUAUGGCAGCCAUUGCCAGGCUGGUCAAGUGGCAGGGCCAUGAGGGAAACAUCAGUAUGGGGGCACCUUAUGCACCUUGCUCUGGAAUCCACCAGCGGUCUAUCUGUAUUUACGGGACUGGAGACCUGCAUUGGAUUCUUCAAAACCAUCACCUCUUGGCCAACAAGUUUGACCCAAAGGUGGAUGACAACGUUCUUCAGUGUUUAGAAGAGUACUUACGUCAUAAGGCCAUCUAUGGGACUGAACUCUGAGAUAAACUAUAAGAGGAUUGCUACCUGUGGGGCAAGAACAUGUGGAUACAUACUUCAGAUGGGCUGGGACAAUGUGGGGUGGGAGACCAGGGCUCUGCAAUCUGUGGCAUCCCCAAGUUUAGGGGGCUGCUAUCGGAGUGUGGGUAAGUAGAUCUGCCUUGCAACUUGCUGUCCUGGGUGAACACUCCUGGUGAGCAUUCACCCACCCCACUCCUAAGAGCUCUCCCACUGACUUUGUCACAGAGUCAAAAUAAGAAGCCGUUAUUUGGGAGAGUAAGGGAGGGAAGUGUGGCAGGGGACCCUGGAUUUCAGUUGAGUGCUUGCUGUCUGCUUUUCUACUCUAUGCUGGUUCUAAUAAAUUCUAGGCUUGGUAGUGGGGGCGGGGUGGGACUUUAAUGAAAAGAGGGCCUUUUGUACUAUUAACUUAAAAAUAAAUAGCUCUUUAUUCAAAGCCCUACCUCUACUUUCGUCUAAUAAGCCAGAAAAAAAAGAUACAAGUGUGAGACUUUUUCUCAUAACUAUUUGUGACAUUUACAAUCCCUGGUGGCUGGCAAGAGAAUCUCCAUUGUUCCAAAGUUGAUCAUGGCCGAGUGUGUAAAUAGCAGAUUCAAAAGAAUGUACAGGAACAGAGUGGAUUCUUUGAUUAUUCAAAGCCGUCCUCAUUUUGUUUACAUUGCCAGAUUCAUGACUUCUCUGUAAGGGAAAAAGGGCGAUCUGACCAGUGUGAUCACUCAUAUACUUACGGGACAAUUAAAGCACUAAUUUUGCCAGCUUCACAGCCAAAGCUUAAUGUUCCAUAGCAAAGACAGCAUUUUAGGUAAGGCCCUCACAUAAUUUCUUGGCCAAACUGGAACACAUUUUAGUGGGGGAGGGGUUGAGAGGGGCACCUGCUUGGCUCAGUCAGUUAAGCAUCUGACUCUUGAUCUCAGCUCAGGUCUUGAUCUCAGGGUGGCGAGUUCAAGCCCUGUGUUAGGCUCCACGCUGCAAGUGAAGCCUACUUAAAAAAAAAAUAAUCGUGUUGGGAAACCAAAAUGAACUAGGACUGUCUAGCUAAAUCAGGAAGUCUGGGUAUUCCAAGUUUAGGCCUCUUUAGUCAAAACUUUUAUUUAGGUAUGUGAGUGGAAGGGUCACUAUUUGUGGCUCUGUGGUUUAUACAUUUCCUUAUAGGAAAACAAUUGUGUGUGUAUUCUCCCACACCUGUAGUAAAUGUUACCCAAUGAAAGAUUCCUUUCUGAAGCUCCAGAGAGAGGUGACAGGCAAUUGGAAGGCAACUGGCUAUUAGUCAUAAUCUUCUGUGAUGGGAAAGGGAUAUUAUAUAAAAAGAUAGGCAUGUCUUAUACACAGAGCAACUGGUCUUCUGUGUACAAUAUGCUCUGGAAAAGGGAUUUAGACACCAACUGGUGUAAUGUGAAUGAUCCGAUUAAUGCGUGAUGUCACUACUGUGUUUCUUUUUGGUUAUGAUUCGCUUAAUCAAGUUUUCUCUCACAGUCAAUCUUCCCUGCAACCCAUGUACUCUGACAUAGUUAUCAUUGUGUCUAACACAGUGAAUUUUCUUCAAAAAAAUUUUUUUUUCAACGUUUAUUUAUUUUUGGGACAGAGAGAGACAUAGCAUGAACGGGGGAGGGGCAGAGAGAGAGGGAGACACAGAAUCAGAAGCAGGCUCCAGGCUCUGAGCCAUCAGCCCAGAGCCCGACGCGGGGCUCGAACUCUCGGACCGCAAGAUCGUGACCUGGCUGAAGUCGGACGCUUAACCGACUGCGCCACCCAGGCGCCCCAACACAGUGAAUUUUCUAUUGGUAAGUUGUUGUUUCUUGUAAGGGCCUACUCCUCUGGUGAUGGGCACUGCCACCCCUCCUUACCUGCACUGUGAUACCGAGUCCUCCUCAGCCUUGCUCUCAGCCCCACCACAGAGGUGACUGAUGAAUAGUUAUGUACUCGGCAGAUGAGCCCUGUGACGUCUGUUCCCAGCAGUGGUGACCAUGGACCUCUCCACCUGCUACCCUUUGGGACUGUCCUUGUUCCUCCUCUGAGGGGGCUUGAAGGGGGGACCUGCUGCUGUGGGAAGUGGGCAGAAAAUCUCCCAUGUGUGCAUGGGUUCUGAGAAAAGAACUCAGGUCUUUGGCCUCAUAGUCAACUUCCUCUGUGAGUUUUCAUGUGAAAUAAAUUGAAAAAGUUUAAUAUAAAUUAAAAAGAUAAAAGUGUGAACUUGUCAUUUUGGGGGAAAUAAGUUGUUGGACUUUUCCAAGCCCUGAAAUUUUCUCUAGAAAUAUAUUUAGGUGAAUAGGAAGUGCUCUUUAUUUAAUAACAUGCGGUCUUCAUAUCAGAAGGGUCAAAAUUUGCCCUCAUUUAUUGAGUGUAUUUUAGAAAUCAUAUGAUUAAACCAACAUAUCUGUUGGUUUUUUCCUUCCUUCUGAGUCAUAUCUGUUUCUUUAACCUUUCUUGGGACAAGAAAAAUCAUAAGUGAGUUGUGCAACAAUGUUUGUAUUACCUCUCAAGGUUUGAAUAUUUCCUCUUUUUGAUUUGGUAAGCAUUGUUUAAUCACUAUAUUUUUAUUGCACGCUCUGCCUAUUGUAAUCUUUGCCCUUGAUUGAGGGAAAAUUUAAGAAAGGAAGAAAAGGCAGUUGGUAACAUUGGGAAUAGCUGACCUGAUUUGUUCAGGGGAGAGCAAGUAUUUGCAUUAAAAAUGAACAGGACAAUUGAAUGCAUUGCCUUCAGUAAGUACCUUCAUUAAACUGAAGAUCCAUUCUUCUUUCUUCCAUUUAGUCAGUCAUUUAUUACAAAGAUAGUUAAGAUGUGGUUCCCAUCUCUUUGAAGCUUGAGUGUGUGACAGGGACUGACAUAACUCCUAUGUUCGUUCCGCAAAUAGUAACUAAACUCUUACUAUUUACUAGGCAUUGUUCUUGACACCGGGGAUAUAGCAGUCAACAAGACAGAAAUCCUCAUGCUCCUGUUGUUACAUACUAGCAGGAAACCGACAGCAGACAGAUAAGUAAUACAUAUGUGUAUCGGAAGGAGAUGGUGCUAGAGAGAAAUUAAAGGAAGUGAUAGAGACUGUAGGAGAGUGGGGUGGAGAGGGAGAGUGCUUAACAUUGGUAAAUACUGUGGUCAGGGAGACCCUUAAUGAAAAAGUGACAUUUUAGUCCAUAUCUGAAGAAGAUGAAGGGAUGAUCCAUGAGGAUAAAUGGGGGAAGAGCAUUCUAGGCCAAGAGGAAAGAGUUGCAAGGCCUUGAAGUAGAAGCUCAUCUUCCAUGUUUGAGGAGCAGCAAGGAGGCUAGUGUCAAUGGAGCAGAGGAAAGGUGGGGACAAAGAAGAGGUAACAGUACAAGGGAGAAGGGGUAUGCUGUGAAUGCCCUUGUAACCAGUCACACGGAAAUUGUCUUUGCGUGAAAUAGGUAGGACGUGGAAGGUUUUGAGCAGAGGACUGACUUGAUCUGGUCAGUGUUUCAAUGCUGCACCAAGACCAGACUGGUUGGGAGGGAGGGGAAGCAGGAAAGCCAGUUAGGAGGUUUUGGCAAUAAUCCUGGCACCAGCAAUAGUGACUUAGGCCAGGGUUACCGAAGUAGAAAUGGUGAGAGUGGUCCGAUUCUAGAAAUGUUUUCGCAGUUCUGUUUGAGGACCUGCUGACAGACUGAGUUUGUUUAGGAGAGAAAUGGUGGAGUCAAGAAUGUCUCCGAGGGUUUUGUCCUGGUGAGGAGUCAGAAGGAUAGAGUUUCCAUUAACCAAGACGGGAAACCUGUGAAAGAGUGGGUUUUUAGGGGCAGAUCCGGAGUUUGAUGUUGCACAUAGAAAAUUGGAGAUGCCUGUUAGACAUCUAGGUAGAAACGCUGGGAGACAGAUGUGUCAGGAGCCUGAGUUCGGGAGAGAGGUCUGGGCUGGAGACAUUUCGUUGGUGUUCCUCCACUUACGCAGUGUGUACAUGAUGCUGCAUAUGAGCCCCAGAGGAGAAAACAUGGAUGGACACUAAGCCCCUGGAUGAACUCUGGGGAUCUCCAAAACGAGAGGCCAGAGAUGUAAAGAGGAACCAUAUAAGAAAGUUGGAAAGGAGCAGCUAGUAGUGUGGUAGAGGGCAACAUGGGUGCUCAGUAUUCUGGAAGCCUGAAGGAGAAAGUGAUCUGGGAAAGAGGGAGUUGAUGAUUAAGCCUAAAAACGGCGGAAAAUCACGGAAGACGGCGAUGAAGAAGUGGCUACCAGGCUGAACAAUGUGGAGGUGACCUGGAUGAGAAGAUCUGUGUUUGUGGAGUGUGGAGGUGAGAACAUGACUGGAGUGGUUCAAAGAGGGUAUUAGGACAAAUUGGCAUUCAGCGCAUAUAAUCAUUUGAGUUUUGCUCUAGCCCAAGAGAAGGGGAAAAAACUACAGCAACUGAAGGUUGAGAAGGUUGUCUUAGACAUUAGAAAAGUGAUAGUAUGUCUGUAGGUUGAUGGGAAAAAUCUAGUCGAGAGAAAAGGUGUGGGAAUGAGAUGGGACACCUGCCAGAGUGGCAUUCUUAGGAAGAGAGGGGGUAAUUCUGUAGGGCACAGGAGGCAAAGCCUGUCUUUGAUGGAACACCCACAGUAACAGGAGUGAAGGCCAGUGAAGGGGCUCAGAUGCACGUGGACAGUUCCAUGAAGCAGUGGGAGCUUGUGGAGUUCGGUUUCUCUCUUCUUUCAUUAACAUUGCACCUGAGGUAUAAUACACACACAGGAAAGUAUGUGUUACUAGGAUCCAGGUCAGGAAACAGAACAUUACCAGCAAUCCAGAAUGCCCCUCUAUCCCUUUCCAGUUACCACCGAAGCUACUGUAAAGAAAACUAUGGUCCUAACACCAUAGGUGAUUUUGCCUGAUUUUUACCUUUCUUGUAAGUACUAUAUUCUCUUUUGCUUAUGACUCCUUCAACUCGCUAUUAUGAGUUUUAUCUGUGUUGCUGUGUAAUACUCUAUUAUAUAACUACACCAUAGUUUAUCCAUUCUCUUGUUGAUGAAUAUUUGGGUUGUUUCCAGCAUUUCUCUGAGUUAUGCUCCUGUGAACCUUCUGGAACCUGUUUUAUAGAAAGCACAUGUACGUUGGGUACACAUCUAGGGGAGAAACUUGAGCAGCCAUGAGCAAGGUGUGAGAGUUUCAUCUGCUUCCUUGUGACUUUGGGCAUACCUUGUUUUAUUGAGUUUCACUGAAUUGUGCUUCUCUUUUUCACACCUGGAAGGUCUGUGGCAAUCCUAUGUUGAGGGAGUCUUUGGGUGCCAUUUUUCCAAUAGGAUUUGUUCACUGUGUCCUUGUCAUGUUUUGGUAAUUCUUGAGGUGCUUCAAACUUUUUCAUUAUUAAUGUAUUUGUUAUGGUGAUGAGUGGUUUCUCGAGAUGGAAUCGACUGGUGAAGAUGCUGUGAAGAUUGUUGAAAUAACAACAAAGUGUUGAGUACAUAAAUUUAGUUGAUAAAGCAGCAGCCAGAGGAUUGACUCCUUUUGGAAGAAGUUUUCUGGGUAAAAUGCUAUCCAACAGCAUCACAGGCUACAGAGAAAUUGUGAAAGGAAGAGUGAAUGAUGUGGCCAACUUCAUUGUUGUCUUAUUUUAAGAAACUGCCACAGACAUCCUAGCAACCACCACCCUGGUCACGCAGCAGCCAUCAACAUCGAGGCAAGACCCUCCGCCAGCCAAAACAUGACAACUUGCUGAAAGCCCAGAUGAUGCUGUUUCACUGCAGUGGUCUGGGGCCCGAGCCACAAAAUGUCUGAGGAAUGCCUGUAUUUCUACUGUCAUUUUAACCGUUCUGACAAGCUUACUAUCACUGGAGCCCAUGGCCAGCUGGGAAAGGACAAAGUGGCUUGAGUUCUUGCUGUGACCCUUUAGUAAUUCCAGUAAAGUCUGAGUACCACUGUGGGAGCAUUAGAACACCUACACUGCAAUAAAAGAAUCAACUGUGUGAUGUGUAUGCAAGUAACCAGAACUGACAGGACAUGUGACCUAGGACUACUGAUCUCCUGCCUGGGCAAAGCAGAGAACACAUGCAACACAACCUAAACUUUUCUGGAGUACUUAACAGUUUUCUGACGAUCAGUUAAUACACUCCUCAGAAGCUACUGCAGUAGGAACAGCUGUUUGAAACACAAAUGGUUCAGAUCAUAAAGUAAAAGAGCAGGAAUAUGUGCUUAAAUAAAAAGGAAAUUCUCAAAGAAUGCAGUAAAAGUGCAAGGAAAGACACAAGCUGAAUGCCAUCAAAACAGACACAUACACAUGGAAUCUUCACAAAUGAAAUUUAGUAUUUGGUAAGAGAUUUAUAAACCCCAAACCUUCAAUUCAGAAGAACAUCCUCUGCAGUGUUACUUGUAAUAGUGAAAACUGGAUUCUACCUAAACGUUCUAUCAAGUGAGAAUGAUUAGGGAAACUAUGAUGGUUGUGAAUGACUUCAUGAAAUUUUAAAAAGAUGAAUAAUUAUCACUUGUUGGACUACGCUAGGCUCUGAGGAUACAAAUAUGAUCCCUGCCAUCAAUGAGCAUACGGUAGCAGGGGAGGUCGUUAAAACAAGAAAGCAUACAGUAUAGCAGUACUAUGAAACAGAAGUAAGCUAGGGGCACCCAAGGGUAUGGAAGACAUGGGGCACAGAAGGCUUCCCCUCACAAAGUGAAGUUGAAGUUGAGUCCUGAAAAGCGAGUACAAGUCAAGGAGAGGUGGGACAAUAGAAAGUAAAACACAUAUUUGGAAUGGGAUAGUUAAAUGUGUCGAGCUCCCAAGGUGGAGGACAUCCUGGAGAACCUUGGAAAGAUUUGCUGCAUCCUAAACCUAUUAUUAGGUCAGUGAAGGAUUUUGAGCCGAAGAAUAACAUGAUCAGAUUUGCAUUUCUGGUGAUAACAUUAAUUGAUUGGGGGUGGGGGGGGAGGCGGUUCUGAUGGAGGCCGAAGACUUUGAUGCCUACAAGAGAGGUAAGAGUGGCUUUACUGUAGCAGCAAGGAAAUGGAAGUGGAGAGAUACCUGGUAACAAUGCGCUAUGGUAGGGAGACAAAAUCUGUUCAUCCCCAAGUUUCUGUCUCCAAUAACAGUGCAAUCAUAAGAAAAGCCAGUUUGAUUUGGAACUUGUUGACUUUGAGACCUAAGUCACAAUGUGCAGAAAGCUGCUAGAGUGUGGAAGAAAGCCUGGGAGCAUGAGUCUAUCAACUUUAGAGACACAGGGUUGGAUGAGAUCAUUCAAGGAGAAUAGGUGGAGCCCUAGACAACCCUAAGGAAUACCAACAAUGAAACAAAAAAGGGUCU